Molecule: long non-coding RNA, 610 nt
Filed under: Homo sapiens (human)
Lineage: Eukaryota; Metazoa; Chordata; Mammalia; Primates; Hominidae
Description: non-protein coding lnc-NLRP3-9:1
Source: RNAcentral
CGGGUCAGACGGGCCUCUGCUCCCCACCUUGGCUAUGGCCUUCCUGUGCACUCUGCCAGCAGGGACCCCACUGGACUCAGCUCCAGCGGGUGGACAGGAACCAGCUUGUGGUGCCAGACACCAACACCAUUUGCUUCUGAUGCCUGACCAUGGGCAACUCUACUCCCUCCAUCUGGCUGAAGAGCCAGAAGAAGUUCUGUGGAAAGCAUCACACGCGAGCAUCGAGGUGGGCCUGGAGGGUGGUGGGGGCAUGGCUGCCAUCCUCUCUCGCCCUUCCACUUGGAGCCGAGGCACCGGCAGUAGAGUCUGGUUAUGAAGAGGGCGGUGCGUUCAGACUGCUGUUUUCCACACAUGUCAUGAAGAACAAGCUCAGCAGCAUCCAGCAAACUUACAUGCUGGACAGGCUGUGUGUGGGCUGUGGCCUUCAGGCAGGGAGCAUGAAGUGAGGUAGCCCUAAGCCCAGCUGGGCCCUCUCAAUGUGUUCUCCUCACCAGCGCCUUCUGCUAGGCAGCGAGGUGCAGCUCCAUGGCAGGUGUACAGCACCUUAGCACACGGAGGUGAAUGUCAGCAAGGCGGGCCUGGACAGCACACCGUACCUCACUGUUCUCAA